Molecule: unclassified non-coding RNA, 20 nt
Filed under: Dictyostelium discoideum
Lineage: Eukaryota; Evosea; Eumycetozoa; Dictyosteliales; Dictyosteliaceae
Source: RNAcentral
GUUGACCUUACAGCAAUUCA